CACGCCGUAAACGAUGAGUACUAGGUGUAGGGGGUAUCGACCCCCCCUGUGCCGCAGUAAACACAAUAAGUACUCCGCCUGGGAAGUACGAUCGCAAGAUUAAAACUCAAAGGAAUUGACGGGGACCCGCACAAGCAGCGGAGCAUGUGGUUUAAUUCGAAGCAACGCGAAGAACCUUACCAGGCCUUGACAUCCAAUGAACUUUCUAGAGAUAGAUUGGUGCCUUCGGGAACAUUGAGACAGGUGC
Molecule: ribosomal RNA, 247 nt
Filed under: uncultured bacterium
Lineage: Bacteria
Description: partial 16S ribosomal RNA
Rfam family: Bacterial small subunit ribosomal RNA
Source: RNAcentral